Molecule: long non-coding RNA, 1259 nt
Organism: Lagopus leucura (white-tailed ptarmigan)
Lineage: Eukaryota; Metazoa; Chordata; Aves; Galliformes; Phasianidae
Exons: 3
Source: RefSeq, a predicted model, not a curated record
GUUUUCUCUGUGAGCCUAGAUCUUCAGAGAUGGGAGCUCCACAGUAAGCUAUAUGUUUGGUGCAAAUAGAAAGAAUGGAGCCUUCUGAACCCUUAAAGGAAGCUGGCAGAGAGAUCGAGAAGUGCAGAUGUGGUUGCAUUCAAACUUCCCUGUAAACAAGUGAUCUUGGAGAGGGCUCAUCUGCUGAAAAAAAUGGUGCAGUCAUGUCCCACUGUGACGGAGAGCAGAGGUGCCAGCUCAGAGGAAGGUGGCAAAAAGAUGAGGGUGAGAGGGCUGUGGAGAGAGGGAAUGAUGGCUCUACUUCUCUGCUGGCGAAGAAUGCUGCAGAGGAUGUGGGAGCAGCCCUCAAACACCACAAAUACUGCAGCUGCUCCAGGGUGCAGAGCUUGGAGCUAAAUGUUUGCAGGGAUCUGAGCCAGAACUCAGGUACUGAACCACGAAUGCUGUGCUGUCCUGAUUACCCACUUCUGACUCAUCUCACUGUCUGCAAGAGUCAGACAUAUCCAUGCAGGCUGCAAUCACUGCUGGUGAUUAUGGCUAUCCCCAUAGAUGCCUUAGGAGCCUACACUACAUCUGAACCUACCCCAGCAUUUCUGUGGGCCACUGUGGGUACUGGAGAAAAAUCUCAUCUGUCAUACACAGUCUAGUGUUACCUGCAACAAACCCCUUCACUCCUCCCUUUUUGCAGCAGUUUGUUCUGCAGGGCGUUUCAGGGAGUCAGUUUCAUUGCUCCCUCCCAUAGCACUUGCAGCCACACGUGCAGCCCCUGUGGGCUGGGAGCUAAAAAAGUUCACCCGUGUGAUGCAGGCGGUCAUGAGCCAGACAGGGUUUAAUUUACUGAUGUAGAUACAGCCUAAACAGCUACAGCUUUUCUGGUCGCUUCUGCACCACUUGUGCUGCUUCUGUAGCAUUCAUGCAAGUUUUCCAAGUGUGAAGUGUGCAUUAAAUAAACGAACUAGGGUGCAAAAGAAUGACAUCUGCUCUGAGACUGUUAGAGAGGCUCUUUUACAAGCAAAUGAACCACCAAUUUGUAGUAAGACAUUGUUUUCUAAACACAGAAUAAAAACUGUUAUCUUGCUUGGCUGGUCAUUAGAAGAGAGAUAAUUAUAGUCUCAGUGUGACAAUCGGCUCCAAACAGUGGUUGCAUUGUUCCAGUCCCCAGCUGAAUCCCAGCACAGGCACCCAAGGCCAGCAGCACUGGGAACAACAGGGCUCCUUGUGCAUGAGCGAGUUCAAAAAAGUGACUGAAGUGCUUAAGA